AUGUGCUUCUGGUUUGGGGUGCGUGCUCGUGGAGGUGAGUCACUGCCGAGCACCUGGGCCGGCUCCCCUCCUGUCCUGGGGCCCCCCGGGUCCCCGAGGCGAGGGGAUGCUCUGCGUCUGUAUUCCAUCCCACCUUGCCACAGGCCCCAGACAAGCUGCCCACGCGCAGGAGAGACCUGGAAAGGAGAAUCCACGCUGGGCAGCAUGGUCGGUGCUCUUCCCGAGCGAGGCAGUGCUUCCAAGCCAGGCUGUUCCUCUGUGGGGUGUGUGUCCCCUGAAGGUAACCAACUGAACAGCGGGGCUCCAGCUUCGGCCCAGACACAGUCCGUAGAUGUUGGCUCCAGGUCACACGGGCCCCAUGUCUUCCCAGCGGUAGAUCCUGGCCAGAGGCCUCCCCGGAGCAGAACAUCAGCUGCCCCGCACCUGUGCCCCCCGACCUCUCGGGGACCCUGGCCCGUCGUCUGCCCAUGCAGGUGCCAAGGCCUGAUGCUCCAGUUGAGCAAUGUCAUGAAAGCCUCAAGGGACUUUCAAGAUAAAGUCCAGACUUGGUGGAGCUGUGGCCAAUCCCGCCGCUGCCUUCUCCUCAAGUGCAGCUUUGGCUUCUGCGGCACCAUCCCUGGACUAGGUAAAUACUGUCCCAUUUCUCAGAUGGGAAAGUGCAGGCUUAGGGAAAUGAAAUGAUUGGCCCAGUGUCACCCAGCUAGGGAGUGGAAGAGCUGGGUUUUGUACUGGGGCAGCCAGAUUCAACUCCCAGGCCCAGGAGUGUAGGAAAAAAUCUUCCCUCUACCAAGAGAGGCCCCGCUGUCCUGUGGCCUGGUCACCUCAGCUGAGCAGGGUGUCCGCUCAGUCUCAGGCACCCUGGCAGCCUGGGGAUCCCAGCUACAGUAGGCAGAGGGGCGCUGGGAGGUUCAGGGAAAGCAGCCAAUGUUUCCUCAUUUGGGGUCUUUCCUGUAAGGUGAAUAGGCCGUCAGGAUCAACUUGGAGACAAAACUUGCUCUUCCAGAGGGGAAACUCCAGGGCCACCGGGAACACCGGCUGAUGGGGGUGCGCUAGGAUGCAGGUGGGCAUGGCGGCAGCAUGAGGUCAGGUGCCACACAGACAUCCCACAUGGGUUCCCUAUAGGACAGGACAAGGAAGCUGCAAGGGCCGAGGGGCAGCGUGCAUCUGGUGGGUUUGAGUCCUCCAGAGGCAGAGCCUGAGGCAAGGAUCUGGGUGGAGGUAGCCGAGUGCGGGGUGGGGAGGGUCGUCCCAGACGUCUAUGGUCGUCAGAAUAAUGGCCCCAAAGGACAUCUCCGUUUGAAUCCCUGGAACCUGCCAGUAUGUGACCUUACAUAGCAGAAGGGACGUGGCAGGUGCAAUUGGGUUACAAAUUUUAAAACAGGGAGAUUGUCUUGGGUCAUCUGAGCAAGCACAGCAUCACCACAGGGCCCUUGAAAGAAGGAAGAGGGAGGGGGUUGAGGCUGCGUCCCUGCCCACUUUGAAGAUGGAGGCAGAGGUCAUAAACCCAGGGAUGAAGGCACCUCCAGAUGCAGAAAAAGACAGAACAGAUUCUUCUUACAGUGUCCAGAAGGAGCACAGCCCGGCCGACACGCUGAGUUUGGGACUUCUGUUUUAUGUGGUCGGAAAUCAGGACGCUCGUGGUCACUUGUUGUCCACACAGAGCCCGGACGAGGCUGUGGGGAAGGGAGACAGGCCAAAGGGUUAGUGAAGGUUUCUGGUAACUGUGCAGGAUCCUGCACAAGCCCCAGCGGGGGCUCUCGGAGGAACCGCACAGACCACACGCUAGUGCCUGCGUCCUCAGGACACCCGCCUGAACGGCUUCCCCCGACGGGGCUUCCCCGCACCGGGCGGGCACCGUCCCCUGGUCCAGGCUGAGAAGCAGGGACAGGCGUGCCAGCCGAACUCCACCUGGGUGCCGUGUCUUUGUUCCCUGGGCACUAUUUUACGAAUAUUUUUCUUUAAAUGGGCUCUCUAUAGAAGACAUUUAGCUAUAGAAAAGGAACCCCAGUAUCAGUAAUAGUUCUGAAAAGUGAUAAAUUUGAUAUUUAAUUCUGCAUUUUUUUCCUAAUGAGCAUUAAAAGAAAUCUAUUUACCAUUAAAAUAAAAGCUUUGCCCAUUGACCACCUAAAAUUACUUUCCCUUACCACCCAAGAAUCCAUGCUGUACCUUUUAGAAAGCUGCGCUUUCUUGUCUGUGUCCCCAAAACAACCCAUUUUAUGGAUGGGGAACUGGGGUCAGAGAGGUUAAGUGAUUCUCUUAAAGACACACAGUAAGUGGCUGAGCCUACAGGUGCCCCAGUCUCCAAGCCUACAAUCUUUCUACUACCCCGCACACUGCCUAGGAAAAAUCACAGUCGCAUUGAGGCAUCUAGCUUGACACCAGGUGAUGUUCUAAGGGCUCCAAACACAACAAGGCAUCGAAUCCCUGCCUAUGCACCACAGCUCCCAAUUAGUAUCCUUGCUGUAUUAUUUUAUCACAUGUACAAGAUUUUGUGCUAUUUUGCUUAUGUCUGUGGCCUGUAUCAC
RNAcentral lists this long non-coding RNA (2525 nucleotides) under Canis lupus familiaris (dog). RNAcentral describes it as "lncRNA (ENSCAFG00040013834.1)". The record is from RNAcentral. Lineage: Eukaryota; Metazoa; Chordata; Mammalia; Carnivora; Canidae.